GAUGAACGCUGGCGGCGUGCCUAAUACAUGCAAGUCGAGCGAACAGACGAGGAGCUUGCUCCUCUGACGUUAGCGGCGGACGGGUGAGUAACACGUGGAUAACCUACCUAUAAGACUGGGAUAACUUCGGGAAACCGGAGCUAAUACCGGAUAACAUGUUGAACCGCAUGGUUCAACAGUGAAAGACGGUUUUGCUGUCACUUAUAGAUGGAUCCGCGCCGCAUUAGCUAGUUGGUAAGGUAACGGCUUACCAAGGCAACGAUGCGUAGCCGACCUGAGAGGGUGAUCGGCCACACUGGAACUGAGACACGGUCCAGACUCCUACGGGAGGCAGCAGUUGGGAAUCUUCCGCAAUGGGCGAAAGCCUGACGGAGCAACGCCGCGUGAGUGAAGAAGGUCUUCGGAUCGUAAAACUCUGUUAUUAGGGAAGAACAAAUGUGUAAGUAACUAUGCACGUCUUGACGGUACCUAAUCAGAAAGCCACGGCUAACUACGUG
RNAcentral lists this ribosomal RNA (497 nucleotides) under uncultured bacterium. RNAcentral describes it as "partial 16S ribosomal RNA". It matches the Rfam family "Bacterial small subunit ribosomal RNA", at positions 28 to 507 of the family's 1533-position model. The record is from RNAcentral.